CUCUAAUACAUAGUUUCGAGAUUGCACUUUUAACAAAGGUGCACAGUGAAGUAUUAGUAUUAAAGAAACCUAUUCCUUCCUAAUUUAGGUAAAUAUGGAUCAUUAGAUAUGUUGCUGGUAGUUAAAGAUAAUGAAUGUUAAUGUAUCUAA
This 150-nucleotide non-coding RNA is filed under the name unclassified sequences. RNAcentral describes it as "RT-14 RNA". It matches the Rfam family "RT-14 RNA". Rfam says of the family: Cloacimonetes, Firmicutes, Proteobacteria. The record is from Rfam by way of RNAcentral.